This 229-nucleotide ribosomal RNA is filed under the name uncultured bacterium. RNAcentral's name for it is "partial 16S ribosomal RNA". It matches the Rfam family "Bacterial small subunit ribosomal RNA", at positions 568 to 796 of the family's 1533-position model. The record is from RNAcentral.
UGCGUAGGCGGUCUCAUAAGUCAGUGGUGAAAUCUUGCAGCUUAACUGUAAAACUGCCAUUGAUACUGUUAGUCUUGAAUUUAGUUGAGGUAGGCGGAAUGUAUUGUGUAGCGGUGAAAUGCAUAGAUAUAAUACAGAACACCGAUUGCGAAGGCAGCUUACUAAGCUAUAAUUGACGCUGAUGCACGAAAGCGUGGGGAGCGAACAGGAUUAGAUACCCUGGUAGUCC